Molecule: ribosomal RNA, 498 nt
Filed under: uncultured bacterium
Lineage: Bacteria
Description: partial 16S ribosomal RNA
Rfam family: Bacterial small subunit ribosomal RNA
Source: RNAcentral
GAUGAACGCUAGCGGCAGGCCUAAUACAUGCAAGUCGGACGGGAUUGAGAAGCUUGCUUUUAAUGAGAGUGGCGCACGGGUGCGUAACACGUAUGUAACCUACCCAUAUCAGGGGGAUAGCCUCUCGCAAGAGAGAUUAAGACCGCAUAACAUUAUUGAAUGGCAUCAUUUAAUAAUCAAAUAUUUAUAGGAUAUGGAUGGGCAUGCGGAACAUUAGCUAGUUGGUAAGGUAACGGCUUACCAAGGCUACGAUGUUUAGGGGAUCUGAGAGGGUGACCCCCCACACUGGUACUGGGACACGGACCAGACUCCUACGGGAGGCAGCAGUAAGGAAUAUUGGUAAAUGGACGGAAGUCUGAACCAGCCAUGCCGCGUGCAGGAAGACGGCCCUAUGGGUUGUAAACUGCUUUUGCAGGGGAAUAAACCUCGAUACGUGUAUCGAGCUGAAUGUACUCUGAGAAUAAGGAUCGGCUAACUCCGUGCCAGCAGCCGCCGUAA